Molecule: ribosomal RNA, 253 nt
Filed under: uncultured bacterium
Lineage: Bacteria
Description: partial 16S ribosomal RNA
Rfam family: Bacterial small subunit ribosomal RNA
Source: RNAcentral
UACAGAGGGGGCAAGCGUUGUUCGGAAUUACUGGGCGUAAAGGGCGCGUAGGCGGCCCGCUAAGUCGAACGUGAAAUCCCCGAGCUCAACUCGGGAACUGCGUCCGAUACUGGUGGGCUUGAAUCCGGGAGAGGGAUGCGGAAUUCCAGGUGUAGCGGUGAAAUUCGUUGAUAUCAGGAGGAACACCGGCGGCGAAGGCGGCCCCCUGGCCCGCAACUGACGCUCAUGGUCGAAAGCGUGGGAAGCAAACAGG